This 253-nucleotide ribosomal RNA is filed under the name uncultured bacterium. RNAcentral describes it as "partial 16S ribosomal RNA". It matches the Rfam family "Bacterial small subunit ribosomal RNA", at positions 524 to 776 of the family's 1533-position model. The record is from RNAcentral.
UACGUAGGGGGCAAGCGUUGUCCGGAUUUACUGGGCGUAAAGAGCGCGCAGGCGGUCGUAUAAGUCGAAUGUGAAAGCCCCCGGCUCAACUGGGGAGGGUCAUUCGAUACUGUUCGACUCGAAGGCAGGAGAGGGAAGUGGAAUUCCGGGUGUAGUGGUGAAAUGCGUAGAUAUUGGAAAGAACACCGAUGGCGAAGGCACUCUACUGGGCUAUUACUGACACUCAGAGACGAAAGCUAGGGGAGCAAAUGGG